Ctenopharyngodon idella (grass carp) is the source of this 1683-nucleotide long non-coding RNA. RefSeq lists it as uncharacterized. NCBI's taxonomy places the organism in Eukaryota, Metazoa, Chordata, Actinopteri, Cypriniformes, Xenocyprididae. The record is from RefSeq and is a predicted model, not a curated record. The transcript has 7 exons.
CAUCUCCCAACAUGUGAAAUCGGACACCUACUUUCUCAACCCUUCCCAAACAGUCUUAUCUGCAAUUCCAGCUGUCACUAUAACAGUAUACAAAACAUUCGCGCAAUUCAAACUUUAACAGAAGCAACUGACUCCACAAGUUCAGAAGACUGACUUCGAUAAAAAGUCGCCUUUAACUUGCGGUUUAAGAAAACAGGAGAAGAAGCACGGACGGAGGGCGGGAGGAAAGGGAAAGCCAAAGGGGUGUUUCCUCUCCAGCAGAGGAAGGAUUGAAGUAGUGAGAAAUAAUUCAUUAAACUGCGCGAAAUGUGUAAAUACAUUGAAGUUUAGGUGACAGUCGCGAUGUCGACCUCAGUUUUCCGAUAAAAGCCUGUCUGUGCUGGACUAGCAUCACUCUCCAACGGAUGGAGGAGAAUCCAGACAGCGACAGGCAUUAUGAGAGGACCACAGAUGACCCCUCACCCUCUAGCCAGGGGACCAAACAGAACAGUGAAGAGCCCCCCCUGGGUGAUCACGAUCUACCCAUCAUGCAGUGGGAGGAUUUAAGUUUACGGAUUGCAGAGCUAGAAAGGCAGGAAGAGGAAAGAAGAAAAAAAGCAGAGAGUCUGGGUUUAUCAGAGCGAGACAGAAUACUUGGAUGCUGGACAGGGUCAAAACACCAUUCACUCCACCGGGAGCCAUGGGCAGAUGAGAACGACUACAGUCCCUGUCGUGUUCCAGUCAUAACGUCACGAUUUAAUAGCCCUAAAAAUCUUCAGCUCUGUUUCAUCAACAACAGUGAGAGUGAGGGGGAGGAUGACGAAGGGGCAUCUAGCAAAGAGAGCUCAUGUGAGGUGGAGGUACGUGGGAGUUGCUCUCCUGGGCUAAAACAGGAAGUGAAAGCAGCACUCAGGGCUCUCAGAGACAAGCUAUGGGCCGAACAGAAAGAGAAAGAGCAAGAAGCCACCCACAGUAACAUGAACAUAAGAAGAAAGAUUCUUAGCCUUAGUGAUCUGCAGACAUGCUCUUUACUGCAGCUGAAUGCGCUCAGGGCCUCACUGAAUGAAGACAUUCAAGAUUUGAGCUCAGAACUGGUGAAACAUCUUGUAGUACGAGACCACCUUCGGACUAAGCAAGAUGCUUUGCUCCUGGAUGUACAGGAUAUGACAUCAUUGUGAACGAUUUUUGUUUGCAACAACUGCGUAGAUGCAGUUCAACGUUGGCACUUUCUGAAAGCAGUAAUUUACUGUUACUCAUCCUGUGGACUAACAAGGCCAGAAUAUCCUGUUUGUUCUUGAAGAAAUGUAGCCCUCAAAGAAACUUUUGCUAAAAUGUGAGUCAUUGAUUAUAGUCACAAGUUUUAUUGUGAAAAAAAGUGCCUUAACAACGAACCCUAAUGGCUCUGAUUCAUGUCUCAUCACUUAUGGUUUAAUUUUGCAUCUGUUAAUAGAGAAUAUAAUAAGCUGCUGUUAAAGCCAUAUGUGAUCAAUAACUGUGAUGUAUUAAUCAUCUGUUACAUUAAGCAUUCCAUUGAAAUACAGUAUAUGUAAUCGUCAUAAGAAUAUAAACGGUGUGAAUUAUGCUGUGUCAUAUGAAUGUGCCUUACAACUUUCCUGUGUAUCAUACUUAUACAUGAGAAUGAAUAUCUCAGUGCUAAAUAUUCGCAAUAAUUUAAUAAAGCAUUUAUUUUAUAUUUUAUACAAA